CCGAGGGUGCAAGCGUUGUUCGGAAUUACUGGGCGUAAAGCGCGUGUAGGCUGUUCUGCAAGUCGGGUGUGAAAGCCCCGGGCUCAACCUGGGAAGUGCACUCGAAACUGCAGAGCUUGAGUCCUGGAGAGGAAGGCGGAAUUCUCGGUGUAGAGGUGAAAUUCGUAGAUAUCGAGAGGAACACCGGUGGCGAAGGCGGCCUUCUGGACAGUGACUGACGCUGAGACGCGAAAGCGUGGGGAGCAAACAGG
Molecule: ribosomal RNA, 251 nt
Filed under: uncultured bacterium
Lineage: Bacteria
Description: partial 16S ribosomal RNA
Rfam family: Bacterial small subunit ribosomal RNA
Source: RNAcentral